RNAcentral lists this long non-coding RNA (689 nucleotides) under Homo sapiens (human). Its description in RNAcentral is "long non-coding RNA NONHSAT233858". Lineage: Eukaryota; Metazoa; Chordata; Mammalia; Primates; Hominidae. The record is from RNAcentral.
AAUUCAAACUUCGAGACAUGUUUGAAACAUUUUAUUUCAGUAAAUAUAGCUGUCACUAUGGAAGUAAUUACUCUAAAGGAAAUCUGUUUUAAAAAGCCAGUAUAAACUGAAAAGUAAGCAACAAAACAUCUUCAGGAAAAGAAAAAGAAAGGCAAAUAAAAUGUUUAUAUGAAAUUACGAACAUUCUGGGCCGGGUGUGGUGGCUCAUGCCUGUAAUCCCAGCACUUUUGGAGGCUGAGGUGGGUGAAUUAUUUAUUUGAGGUCAGGAGUUUGAGACUAGCUUGGCCAACAUGGUGAAAGCCCGCCUUUACUAAAAAUACAAAAAUUAGCAGGGUAUGGUGGCAGGCGCCUGUUAUCCCAGCUACUUGGGAGGCUGAGGCAGCAGAAUUGCUUGAACCUGGGAGGCGGAGGUUGCAGUGAGCUGAGAUAGUGCCACUGCAUUCUAGCCUGGGUGACAGAGCGAUACUUCGUCUCCAAAAAAAAAAAAAAAAAAAAAAAAAGAGAGAGACUAACAUUCUAACAGACAAAACAAAAACAAAAAACAAAAAAACACAUUUUACAAAACAAUAAUCUAAGUGGGCAAGUAAAUACUGGUGUGACAUACAUUUUUAGGGAAAAACUAGCAACAUGUUUUGUGGAGAUAAAUGUAAACACAUUUUACACAUACAAAUCUUUUCUGGCAUGGGUAC